RNAcentral lists this ribosomal RNA (440 nucleotides) under uncultured bacterium. RNAcentral's name for it is "partial 16S ribosomal RNA". It matches the Rfam family "Bacterial small subunit ribosomal RNA", at positions 338 to 795 of the family's 1533-position model. The record is from RNAcentral.
CCUACGGGGGGCUGCAGUGGGGGAUAUUGCACAAUGGGGGAAACCCUGAUGCAGCGACGCCGCGUGGGUGAAGAAGCGCCUCGGCGCGUAAAGCCCUGUCAGCAGGGAAGAAAAUGACGGUACCUGAAGAAGAAGCCCCGGCUAACUACGUGCCAGCAGCCGCGGUAAUACGUAGGGGGCAAGCGUUAUCCGGAUUUACUGGGUGUAAAGGGGGCGCAGACGGGGAUGCAAGCCAGGAGUGAAAGCCCGGGGCCCAACCCCGGGACUGCUGUUGAAACUGCGUGGCUAGAGUGCAGGAGGGGCAGGCGGAAUUCCUGGUGUAGCGGUGAAAUGCGUAGAUAUCAGGAAGAACACCGAUGGCGAAGGCGGCCUGCUGGACUGCAACUGACGUUGAGGCCCGAAAGCGUGGGGAGCAAACAGGAUUAGAUACCCCUGUAGUC